Molecule: ribosomal RNA, 464 nt
Filed under: Vreelandella stevensii
Lineage: Bacteria; Pseudomonadati; Pseudomonadota; Gammaproteobacteria; Oceanospirillales; Halomonadaceae
Description: partial 16S ribosomal RNA
Rfam family: Bacterial small subunit ribosomal RNA
Source: RNAcentral
CUACGGGGGGCAGCAGUGGGGCAUAUUGGACAAUGGGGGGAACCCUGAUCCAGCCAUGCCGCGUGUGUGAAGAAGGCCCUCGGGUUGUAAAGCACUUUCAGUGAGGAAGAACGCCUGGUGGUUAAUACCCAUCAGGAAAGACAUCACUCACAGAAGAAGCACCGGCUAACUCCGUGCCAGCAGCCGCGGUAAUACGGAGGGUGCGAGCGUUAAUCGGAAUUACUGGGCGUAAAGCGCGCGUAGGUGGCUUGAUAAGCCGGUUGUGAAAGCCCCGGGCUCAACCUGGGAACGGCAUCCGGAACUGUCAAGCUAGAGUGCAGGAGAGGAAGGUAGAAUUCCCGGUGUAGCGGUGAAAUGCGUAGAGAUCGGGAGGAAUACCAGUGGCGAAGGCGGCCUUCUGGACUGACACUGACACUGAGGUGCGAAAGCGUGGGUAGCAAACAGGAUUAGAUACCCUAGUAGUC